GAUCAUGGCUCAGGAUGAACGCUAGCUACAGGCUUAACACAUGCAAGUCGAGGGGCAGCAUGACCUAGCAAUAGGUUGAUGGCGACCGGCGCACGGGUGAGUAACACGUAUCCAACCUACCGGUUAUUCCGGGAUAGCCUUUCGAAAGAAAGAUUAAUACCGGAUAGUAUAACGAGAAGGCAUCUUUUUGUUAUUAAAGAAUUUCGAUAACCGAUGGGGAUGCGUUCCAUUAGUUUGUUGGCGGGGUAACGCCC
Molecule: ribosomal RNA, 254 nt
Filed under: uncultured bacterium
Lineage: Bacteria
Description: partial 16S ribosomal RNA
Rfam family: Bacterial small subunit ribosomal RNA
Source: RNAcentral